CUCUGUGACAUCACAGUGGCCACCAUGCAACAGGUGUGUAGAAAGAGCCCCUAAAGGCUCCUCAUGUCUGCUGUAGUCUUCUUUGCAACAGAUCAUUUCCAUCCGUCUCUCAUAGCACAACUUUCUCACUCACCUCUCACUCCUGUUGCUUGCUUUGCUUCGCCCUAAAGCAGAUGAGAAGAUGGGACACACAAGACACAGUCCAUGGAGGCCAUCUUUCGCACCCCAGAAUGCUUUGGUGGAUGCUUACAAAGAAGACUUAUUUACAUGCUGAUAGAAGGUCCAGCUGACCCAGGAGAAAGAAGUCUUAAGAAUUUGUCCUUCAUCCAACUAUUGCAAAAACAAAGUGAAGAACUCAACUCAUGCAAGUAAAUUGCUGGGUUUGGUAUAAAUGUCUACAGACAUUAUGCUCAAAAAGCAACUGAAAGAUGUGUGGCCAGACUUGUUCUGAUUCUCCCCUCCCUUCUCCUAAGAAAUAUGGCUUAGAAAAGGAUUUGUGGGAUGGGCUUUGAAUGGCUGUUAUCAGAGCUUUCUGUCUUUACACACACACUUUCUCAUACAUGCUUACUGACAUAUUUGUUAUACUCGCUGCGUAAUUGCUGUUCUGUACUGCAUGGAGACCUUGAUCUGCCACUGAAGCAACUACAGGUCCAGUGUUGAAAGUAGAAGCUUCUUUUUGAAGACUGACAUAAAAGAUCCUAUUUUGCAGAAGGUAAUGGAUUUCAAAGCCAUAAGGAAAGCUGUCAGUAGGAUCAGGCUGAAUAUUGCCCUAAGGCACGCACAUAUCUUUUUCUUUUCUUUUAACUAAUUAUUACCGACUAAAGCUUCUCAAAACUUGGAAUGUUAGGAAUAUCCUCGAAGUGGAUUUUCUGGCAGGGGCUGGUGUAAUGGAUCAAAGAUGGGUAAUAGAUUCAUUACUGCAUGGACCAGCAUCAAAGAACUGAGAGACAUGUUGUGAUGCAGAAAUCGGCAACAAUGUUUUGAUUUGUUGUAUAAUCUACUUUGAAUGCCUGUCAGAGCUCUGCUGUGACUGGCUUUGUUGAGCAGUGCUUACUGCAUAGUUGACUGGUUUAUCAUGAAGUUGAAGGUAUAUAUUUUAUGUUUGGCUUAUUUUGAACUGAAAAGCCAUUUUAACAUGGAGUUAGCUUCAUAGUCUUUGUUGCAAAGGAGGAUGGAAGUUUGAAGAUGUGUGCACUUUCAAUAGAAAAUGAGGGUUCAGUGUGUUUGACAGUAAUUCUUUUUACUUGUUUGGAGAGUGUACUGAGUAUGAUAGAUUAUUGGACUGAAACAAAGGAUAAAGAAGGAAUUAGUGUCUGGUGGGGCUCUGUUGUUAAGUUGAUGACUGACUUGUUUUGGGACUUGGCUUCCUUACAGUGUUUCUGAUGCUGGGGAAACAGUUUUAAAUAGUUUCUCUCUCGGUUUGUGCUUAGUGUUCAAGCAUGCAGCAACAUUUUGAAAGGCAGCUGUAAUCCAAACACUUAAUAGGAUAAUUCAGAAUGGAGCUGGUACAACCUGAAGAACUUUCACAGAGGAGAGAGGGAGGUGUGUGAGAAAAUGGAUGAACUAGAGAAAAUGCAACAAAAUGACUCCUAUGUGUUCCUCAACAUCGUGUUCUUCUGCCUUUUCUACCUUUUAAGUUGGUUGCCCUUGGUCCUGGUAAACUUACUGGCUUGGUUCCUGCUUUUCCUGCAUGCUAGGAUGCCUGCAAAAACUAUGUUAAAUGCGUGAGAGAUGGGGAAAAUAUCUUUGUAUUUUUUAGUAGGGGGUGAAUACCUGAAGUGACUCCAAGUAAAACACCUUGUAGACUCAUCAGUUCACUGCCACACCUGAACUAAUUAGCCUCAUUCAGAUUGUUUUAUUUACUGUGAGGAAGUCACCAGAAAUUUUAAUCUCUGCGUGGGAAAAUGUUUAAAUUACUCAGGCGACACUUUUCUUGGAGUUAUUGUCAUCUAUUCUGUACAUAAUGUCAAGAGCAAACUGAUAAUUGUAAUUUUUGUUAACUGUUUGUAUGCUCACUUUUUAUACAUUAAACAAUUUAUGGUGUUUUACCACAGUCUUAUAAAUAGGAAACAGCGGCCUAAAGGCAGAAGAGAGAUGCUGAUUAGAGAAUGAUAGAAAUACAAAUUUAAAGCAGCCACAGUAGGGCAGAAAAUUCAAACAUGAAAAAGUGCAUCCCUUUUAUUACAACCUAAGUCUUAAUUACAUAAGCUAAGUCUUUUAUUACAUCCCAGGUUUAAUUGCAGAAAACAGGGGGUGGGAAACCUAAGGCUUCACAGACAUAUUUGUCAGAAGCUCUGGAAUGAGGUUCCUGUUGGGGGAGAAAGUAGGAAGUAAGCUCUCAUGAAGAACAUGUAAGAGAGACCAGGACAUUCUGC
Molecule: long non-coding RNA, 2375 nt
Organism: Coturnix japonica (Japanese quail)
Lineage: Eukaryota; Metazoa; Chordata; Aves; Galliformes; Phasianidae
Source: RefSeq, a predicted model, not a curated record